CAUUUAUUUGAGCAGAGACUGCUGGUAGGAGAAAGUACGCAGCAGCAGCAGCAGCAGUACUCAACACUGCUCUAUCACUCUAUGCCCCCCACCACUGCUGGAGACAAGUUGGACGCCAAAAAGAGGAUCAGGGGAUAAAGAUUGGAAGCAACACACCUCUCCAAUGCCACCACCAAUAUAAUUUCUGGAAUACUAUCUUGGUUUUUCCAGCUUUGCCUUGUACCCUUCAGUUUCCUUUUUUCCUUCAGAUACUCAAACGAUUUCCUCUGGCUUAAUUUGAAGGAAUAUUCAUGCGAGCGGAGAGCAUGGCCUGAAUGACAAUUGGUGCCUACCUCUGCACAGGUCAAGCAUUAGUACCAGCAGUGGACUCAAAAAGCCUUCAGCGUAUUAAAUGAAUCUCCUUGAUACUUUUCAGGAACAUCUUAUGGUCUUCACAGCUCGGCACCCAAUCUAUUGGAUACAUGUCCAUGGAGUUACUACUUACGAAAAGUUCCUUUCCAAAUAGGCCUGCUGCCUUUUUUUUUAAUCUCACAAUCCCUCAUUCCCUAUUCCCAUUAUAUUAAGUUUGGGAGCAAAAAAGGCAAGACAUGGUGAGGUUGCUCUGAACUGUGAUUCAAAAUUCACUGGAUUUUGUGGAAGAGAGCAAAUUUAUUGGCUCCAUCAGCAUCAAUAAGUUGUCCAGGUCCAGAGGCAUCAAAGACGCCAAGGACCAUCACACCACCAUGGUUGACUGUAGAUGCAUUAUUGAGAUAUUUAAAUCAUUCUCCUGGCAUCCUGCAACACUACCAAGCCCUCCUCCUGUUGCCUUUGCCUCACGGGAGAUCAUUCAUGCAUCACAAAUGGAGGCUGCACUAGUAGA
Long non-coding RNA from Xiphophorus couchianus (Monterrey platyfish), 859 nucleotides. RefSeq lists it as uncharacterized. The transcript has 3 exons. The record is from RefSeq and is a predicted model, not a curated record. NCBI's taxonomy places the organism in Eukaryota, Metazoa, Chordata, Actinopteri, Cyprinodontiformes, Poeciliidae.